RNAcentral lists this transfer RNA (75 nucleotides) under Pseudomonadota bacterium. Its description in RNAcentral is "tRNA-Glu". It matches the Rfam family "tRNA". From Rfam's summary of the family: Transfer RNA (tRNA) molecules are approximately 80 nucleotides in length. Their secondary structure includes four short double-helical elements and three loops (D, anti-codon, and T loops). Lineage: Bacteria; Pseudomonadati; Pseudomonadota. RNAcentral also lists the same sequence under 2 other names. The record is from RNAcentral.
GGCGCUAUCGUCUAAUGGUUAGGACAAGUGGUUUUCAUCCACUAAAUCGGAGUUCGAUUCUCCGUAGCGCUACCA